UGAGGAAUAUUGGUCAAUGGACGGAAGUCUGAACCAGCCAAGUAGCGUGCAGGAUGACGGCCCUAUGGGUUGUAAACUGCUUUUGUAUGGGGAUAAAGUCAAUCACGUGUGAUUGUUUGCAGGUACCAUACGAAUAAGGACCGGCUAAUUCCGUGCCAGCAGCCGCGGUAAUACGGAAGGUUCGGGCGUUAUCCGGAUUUAUUGGGUUUAAAGGGAGCGUAGGCCGGAGAUUAAGUGUGUUGUGAAAUGUAGACGCUCAACGUCUGACUUGCAGCGCAUACUGGUUUCCUUGAGUACGCACAACGUUGGCGGAAUUCGUCGUGUAGCGGUGAAAUGCUUAGAUAUGACGAAGAACUCCGAUUGCGAAGGCAGCUGACGGGAGCGCAACUGACGCUUAAGCUCGAAGGUGCGGGUAUCGAACAGGAUUAGAUACCCUGGUAGUCCGCACAGUAAACGAUGGAUGCCCGCUGUUGGUACCUAGUAUCAGCGGCUAAGCGAAAGCAUUAAGCAUCCCACCUGGGGAGUACGCCGGCAACGGUG
Molecule: ribosomal RNA, 540 nt
Filed under: uncultured bacterium
Lineage: Bacteria
Description: bacterial SSU rRNA
Rfam family: Bacterial small subunit ribosomal RNA
Source: RNAcentral